UCUGGAUGCACUGUCUGGGCCUAUUCCUGU
This 30-nucleotide non-coding RNA is filed under the name Homo sapiens (human). The record is from RNAcentral. Lineage: Eukaryota; Metazoa; Chordata; Mammalia; Primates; Hominidae.